GGCGAUUCUUCCACGGCGCUCGAAGCGCGUCGUGGUAUUUCGCGUAUUGUAAUUUCAACACGAGCGGGGUCAAAUCCUUUGCAGACGACUUAGCUGUGCGAAACGGUCCUGUAAGCAGUAGAGUAGCCUUGUUGUUACGAUCUGCUGAGGGUAAGCCGUCCUUCGCCUCGAUUACCCCAAUGGGUUCUCCGGAUUUCUGGAGACUUGUAGGGGUUGUUGGAUUUUUGAUGUGUCGUCUCCGGACGGGCGGUGCAGGGUAGGCGAGUUAGACUUGGUGGAAGUCCGUCGAUAGGAGUUCCGUCGAGUCUGGUCGGCUGUGUGUUGGACGGUGCAGGGUAGGCUGCUUGGACAUGGUCGGUUCGAGGAUCGAUUCGAGGGCCGGCCCGUCGAUGAUGUGUCAUGUAUGCGGUCUAGGGUAGGCCGGUUUGUCUUGGUCCAAUUU
This 442-nucleotide ribosomal RNA is filed under the name Fusarium oxysporum f. sp. vasinfectum. RNAcentral's name for it is "partial large subunit ribosomal RNA". The stretch from base 1 to 176 matches the Rfam family "Eukaryotic large subunit ribosomal RNA", at positions 3226 to 3401 of the family's 3401-position model. Lineage: Eukaryota; Fungi; Ascomycota; Sordariomycetes; Hypocreales; Nectriaceae. The record is from RNAcentral.